CGCGGGAUGGAGCAGCUCGGUAGCUCGUCGGGCUCAUAACCAGGUCGUAGGUUCAAAUCCUGCUCCCGCAA
This 71-nucleotide transfer RNA is filed under the name Streptococcus pneumoniae PNI0009. Its description in RNAcentral is "tRNA-Met". It matches the Rfam family "tRNA". Rfam says of the family: Transfer RNA (tRNA) molecules are approximately 80 nucleotides in length. Their secondary structure includes four short double-helical elements and three loops (D, anti-codon, and T loops). The record is from RNAcentral. Lineage: Bacteria; Bacillati; Bacillota; Bacilli; Lactobacillales; Streptococcaceae.